Molecule: ribosomal RNA, 208 nt
Filed under: uncultured bacterium
Lineage: Bacteria
Description: partial 16S ribosomal RNA
Rfam family: Bacterial small subunit ribosomal RNA
Source: RNAcentral
UUCGGAUUGUAGUCUGCAACCGACUACAUGAAGCUGGAAUCGCUAGUAAUCGCGGAUCAGAAUGCCGCGGUGAAUACGUUCCCGGGUCUUGUACACACCGCCCGUCACACCAUGGGAGUCGGAAAUGCCCGAAGUCUGUGACCCAACCGGAAGGAAGGAGCAGCCGAAGGCAGGUCUGAUGACUGGGGUGAAGUCGUAACAAGGUAAC